AUUGAACGCUGGCGGCAUGCCUUACACAUGCAAGUCGAACGGUAACAGGUUAAGCUGACGAGUGGCGAACGGGUGAGUAAUACAUCGGAACGUGCCCAGACGUGGGGGAUAGCUCGGCGAAAGCCGGAUUAAUACCGCAUAAGCUCUGAGGAGGAAAGCGGGGGACCGUAAGGCCUCGCGCGUUUGGAGCGGCCGAUGGCAGAUUAGGUAGUUGGUGGGGUAAAGGCUUACCAAGCCUACGAUCUGUAGCUGGUCUGAGAGGACGACCAGCCACACUGGGACUGAGACACGGCCCAGACUCCUACGGGAGGCAGCAGUGGGGAAUUUUGGACAAUGGGCGAAAGCCUGAUCCAGCAAUGCCGCGUGCAGGAUGAAGGCCUUCGGGUUGUAAACUGCUUUUGUACGGAACGAAAAGGCGCCUACUAAUACUGGGUGUUGAUGACGGUACCGUAAGAAUAAGCACCGGCUAACUACGUGCCAGCAGCCGCCGCCG
RNAcentral lists this ribosomal RNA (493 nucleotides) under uncultured bacterium. RNAcentral describes it as "partial 16S ribosomal RNA". It matches the Rfam family "Bacterial small subunit ribosomal RNA", at positions 30 to 523 of the family's 1533-position model. The record is from RNAcentral.